This is a long non-coding RNA of Populus euphratica (Euphrates poplar), 1533 nucleotides long. RefSeq lists it as uncharacterized. The transcript is spliced from 2 exons. The record is from RefSeq and is a predicted model, not a curated record. NCBI's taxonomy places the organism in Eukaryota, Viridiplantae, Streptophyta, Magnoliopsida, Malpighiales, Salicaceae.
AGAGAAGGAAAGAGAGGCAAGAGGUCUGUGUCAAUAGCUGUAAGGAAGGGCCAAAACUCACCAUUAAAUACUCCAUCUAUGACACAGUACAACAGAGUGGAGGAAGAAGAGAGAGGUGCAUUUAUAUAAAUGGAGAGGGAGAGUCACGAGGAUUCCCCUACCUAAAACAUGCACAGCUCGUGCUUUCCUUUGUCAAUCUUUAGGUGAGAAAUUAAGCUUCUGCUUCUUUCCCUUUAAAUUAGACCUCUUAGCUUUCCAAAUUUCCCCAAAAAGGCCAAACCUCACUCCCCCCAUAUGGUUCUUCCUUCAAUUUGUCUUAUAUGUUGGUUUGAGAGGUUGAAGCUGCCAGCAUGAUCUGGUAAUGAACGUGUUACUCUCAUUUAUAUAUAUAUUAACAUCAAUCUUAUAGCAGUAUUUGUAGGUAGAAGAAAUUUAAUGUUGUCAAAGAUAUAUACUGAAUCGUGGUAGCUAUGUUUGUAUUACUAGUUUAGGAUGCAUGUUUUUGAUCUUAUGAUGAUCAAUUGCUUGUGAGUUUUUAGGCAAUGAAAACAGAAUAUACUGGUGAUUUUUCCCAGUAAAAUUGUCGAGAAAAGGGAAUUGCACUAAUAGGGAAGACGCAUAGGUAAACUUGUACCUAAAUGGUAUAUGUAUUUUCCAGGCAAAAAGGUAGAAACCUAAUUAGAAACUAGCUUGAACUCAGAGCUAUAAAAGUAUAUGGUUCCAUCAGGUCAUCUUGCAGCUUCAAUCACUCACUCACAAACAGCAGAAGAGAUUCUGAAACAUGCUUUUCUGGGGUCUAAUUGGCUCUCACAGAGUCACAAUUGCUUUAUACCAGGAGACAAAAGGUGGUACAAAUUUGGUUUCAUCCUUAAUUGCACACGGUUAGGGGUCCAGCUUGGUGUUGGUGACCCACAAUUCUGAACAGACAUUGACAAAACUACACAGGAUGUUACAUUCAUCUGUUGGAUAAUUAGCAUUCUGUGGUUUCCCAGAUUAUAAAUUGCAGUGAGUUUCCUCACAUAGUAUUAAGGUGGCAGUUGGGGCAUUUUUAUAGACUACCUAUGCUUCAUAAGCACUUAGCUGAUUCAAUCUCUUUAUCAGACAUUCAAGCAUAACAUCAGAAGUUUCUGUGAGAUUGCUGUUUUUCCCUUUUAUUCAUCAAUAUUCUGUAUCUCAAGAGUUUCCAAAAAGAUUCAAUCGAAACAAGGCUCAUUGGCAUGAUAUUGCAUAGCUCAUUAAUUGCCAUGCACACAUCUGGUAGUCUUACGGGGACAAAAACUUAGAUUUAUUGCUUCAAAUAACAGGAAUUUUCGGUAAAAAUUAAAUUUGUAACCUUACAAAAUAAAAUGGAGAAAUGAUUUUUUUAUAUCCAACUCUACAUAUCUAAUUCCAGGCCAAGAUACGGAUAAGUUGUAUCAUGAAUAUUGCACCAACAUAAAAGAGCGCUUGAAUUUUAUUAGUUGGUGUUAAUUAAAGAAUAUAAGGGAUAGGAAUAUAGGCCUCGUGAUAGGGCAUAUCUUAAUUAUGUAAAAU